RNAcentral lists this ribosomal RNA (253 nucleotides) under uncultured bacterium. Its description in RNAcentral is "partial 16S ribosomal RNA". It matches the Rfam family "Bacterial small subunit ribosomal RNA", at positions 524 to 776 of the family's 1533-position model. The record is from RNAcentral.
UACGAAGGGAGCUAGCGUUGUUCGGAAUUACUGGGCGUAAAGCGCAUGCAGGCGGAUCGUUAAGUCGAGGGUGAAAUCCCAGGGCUCAACCCUGGAACUGCCUUCGAUACUGGCGAUCUUGAGUCCGGGAGAGAUGAGUGGAACUCCGAGUGUAGAGGUGAAAUUCGUAGAUAUUCGGAAGAACACCAGUGGCGAAGGCGGCUCACUGGCCCGGUACUGACGCUGAGAUGCGAAAGCGUGGGGAGCAAACAGG